UCGAGCGCCCCGCAAGGGGAGCGGCAGACGGGAGAGUAACACGUGGGAACGUGCCGUUCAGUUCGGAACAACCCCAGGGAAACUGGGGCUGAUACCGGAUACGUCCGCAAGGAGAAAGAUUUAUCGCUGAAGGAUCGGCCCGCGUCUGAUUAGCUAGUUGGUGAGGUAACGGCCCACCAAGGCGACGAUCAGUAGCUGGUCUGAGAGGAUGAUCAGCCUCACUGGGACUGAGACACGGCCCAGACUCCUACGGGAGGCAGCAGUGGGGAAUAUUGGACAAUGGGCGCAAGCCUGAUCCAGCCAUGCCGCGUGGGUGAAGAAGGCCCUUGGGUUGUAAAGCCCUUUCGGCGGGGAAGAUAAUGACGGUACCCGCAGAAGAAGCCCCGGCUAACUUCGUGCC
RNAcentral lists this ribosomal RNA (400 nucleotides) under uncultured bacterium. Its description in RNAcentral is "bacterial SSU rRNA". It matches the Rfam family "Bacterial small subunit ribosomal RNA", at positions 62 to 509 of the family's 1533-position model. The record is from RNAcentral.